UACAGAGGUCCCGAGCGUUGUUCGGAUUCAUUGGGCGUAAAGGAUGCGUAGGCGGUAAGGUAAGUUGGAUGUGAAAUCCCGGGGCUCAACCUCGGAACUGCAUUCAAUACUGCUUUGCUAGAGUACUGGAGAGGAGAUUGGAAUUCACGGUGUAGCAGUGAAAUGCGUAGAUAUCGUGAGGAAGACCAGUGGCGAAGGCGAAUCUCUGGACAGUUACUGACGCUGAGGCAUGAAGGCCAGGGGAGCAAACGGG
This 253-nucleotide ribosomal RNA is filed under the name uncultured bacterium. RNAcentral's name for it is "partial 16S ribosomal RNA". It matches the Rfam family "Bacterial small subunit ribosomal RNA", at positions 524 to 776 of the family's 1533-position model. The record is from RNAcentral.